CCAAAAUGGAGGAUAUGAUUACAAAACCGUCAGACUAAGGUUAUGUUUUAUUCCCAAAGGUUAACUUUUUCAGACUACAAAUUGCAAAUGAAGUGCUGAUCUAUGAUUGGAGUUCUCUCAAGAGAAAUUCCCUAUAUGGACAAAAUCACAGGAAUCUUUGGCUUCAGUCUUCAGCUUGGAGCUUCGACUGGUGACUUAUCUCUUGGAGGUGGCUUUGGACUUGGACUUCAGCUUCCAUUUGGGACCUUGACUUCUUGGACUGCUCCUGGAUCUUCUGCUUUGUACUUCAUCUUGGGUGAGUGAGUGGCCUUCCCUUCCUGGCUUCUGAAUAGAUUAGUUCCAGAGAGCUUACAUCUCCUUGAGGAAGCUGCAUUGGGGAAGCCUUUGUAUGGGACAUCACCAGAUCCUCUGACUGAGGGUUAAAGAGUCCUGAUAGGCCUGAGGUAGACACUGGAGCAACAUUUAGUGUGAUAGGCUAGACAUUUUCUAUAACCUCUUCUUAUAUUCUCUACUUUUACUCUUUCCACCUCUUUGUAAAUAAAAGCUACUAAAAGUUACUUGCCUUGAACUAU
Molecule: long non-coding RNA, 572 nt
Filed under: Monodelphis domestica (gray short-tailed opossum)
Lineage: Eukaryota; Metazoa; Chordata; Mammalia; Didelphimorphia; Didelphidae
Description: lncRNA (ENSMODG00000034468.2)
Source: RNAcentral